GCUGUCCCCCGCACAAACGGGAGUUACCUGGCAAAGCCAAGGCGCUCGUUUUCGAAAGGGAGAGAGGGUCUUUUGCUGGAUUCAGGGAUGCCUUUUCCACACUUUGCAUCGUGCUGCAAUGAGCUGCUCGCUGUGAGCAGAGCUUGUUGGAAUUCAGGUGCAUGGAGAUGUAGGGGACCACAGCUGAACCAGAAGAGAGGUGCUGUGCCUGUCCCUGCUGCUGGCGCCUGAGUGCCUUCUGACAAGUCACUCAGUUCGUAUAUGACUGGUUUACCAUGGUCAGGAUGGGAUGAAUGCACACAUGAAUUCACAGCACUGGAACAGGCUGCCUGGAGAGGUUGUGGUGUCUCUUCAUCGAGAUAAUCAAAACCUGUUAGGAUGCUUUUCCAUGCAACCUUCCAUAGGGAGCCCGCUUGAGCAAGGAGUUGGAUUGGGGGAUCUCCAGAUGUCCCUUCCAAUGCCUCAAUUCUUAGGUGCCAAUGGCUGGGACAAGCAGAGCACCAGGUUGUGGCUGCGCAAGCUGGAUCCUGGGUGACCUCACCUCCAUUACCAGCUACCUGAAGUGACCAUCAUCUUCUAACCUCUCAGAAAAUCUCACCUAGAUCCUGGUUGGCAGAUGGCUAAAGAUCAGAGUGUGAACAUGCCUUGUCUGAGGACCUUACUACAGCACCCUGUCUCAUCUGGAUGGGAAUAUGUGAGACCUGCCCUGGUUCCUCUGUUAUCUGCAGAGCUGUACUCAAAAUUCUGAGUGAAUGUACCUCAAUGUCAUCUCUCAAACAAGAGUAAAAGAAAGCUAUUCUCAGGAACCUCAGCAAUCCAUGUAAACAAUCUUGGAGCACUCAAGAUGGGUGAGGUGGCAGCAAAUACUUUUAUCUUGAAAGCAGAGGAUUUCUGCAGCAGAAGUCAAUCUAAUAGCUGUCCUUGCAAUAUGCUUGUAAUAUCCUUGCUUGCAGAGGCUCUGUCACUUCUGCACUGAUGUUCUGAGAGAAGACUGUUGCUGGAUGAAGUACUUCAAAAUGCAUGGAAAGCCUGGCUUAAAGACAUCACAUAAAAAAGGUGCACAGAUCAACUGGCCAGUCAGGAGAAUUCUCUCAAAGCAUGACCUGUCAUGGCAGAAGGUAGUGUGGGGAAACUGACACACAUGGAGAAGCACAUUCAACAGACACGUAAUGCUAUACGCUUUAUUGGCAGGUAUACUGAGGAUGAUUGGGAACCAUAUGUUCGACCCUAACACCUGGUGAAUUUGGAUAUAACAUCUAUAAAGCUGGUGUGGAGACCUUAAGAGUCCCUUUCUAAAUCGGUACUACCUGAGGACUCAGUGGCAAUUCAUGCAGAUGAAAAAAGUGAUCAGAGAAGUAUCUUCAGUCAAGUUUAGUAAUGAAGGAGAUGGAUCUGACAGUCAGGAAAACUAACUAACUAAUAGUGACACAAAGACAAAAGAGACAACAGUUUUGAUACAAAUGCAGUUUAUUUAUGUAUUUAUUUUUAAGAAAACUUGCUUGUAAAUAUCUUCAGGAAAAAAAAAAGAAGUCCUAUAUUUUAAACAGAAGCACCCUGUGUGCAGACAAAUUGCUGUUGAAAUAACCAGUCUGGCCAUUUGCAGCUCAUCACGACUGAGAAAGUCUUUAGCCUUCUCCCUUCAAAUGCAGUAUUUUCUCACUAAAAUAGUGAUACCUGUUUUGGUUAGAAAAACCUCUUGGGCUUCUAAUAGAGUCCUAUCAAUUUAUAUUUUGUUUUUUGCAGGAAUCAUGCUUUUCUACUUAUGUUGGAUAUGCUUUGGAAACAGAGGUAGUUUUUUGUUUAAUUGAGUAAUUUUCCCUGAAUUGUGAGUUCUGCUGCCUGUCCCAUGAAGCAGGAAUCCUCCAGUGCAAGCAAUAAUUGCUGCAUUGAAAAACAGUCCUGAACUACUGAGGAUGAACCAACAUCCAACAAAAUCCAUAUUAUUUCAAAAAUGUUUGGUCUGAUUUUUUGAAUGUGAGUCAGAAGAACCUCAAGGCUGUGUUCAAGGAGAUGUUUGAUCUUACAUAGCCUAAGAUAUGACAAUUCAGCUGCACUUUCCUUAUGCGGAAGAGAAAUAAAAGAGUUCGAUGUUUGAAAAUGCACUUGUAGCCCAAACUGUGGAAUAAAAUCCUGCAGGAAUUUGGAAUUAACUGUAAACUGUAACCUUUUUUUUUUUUUUUUUUUUCCCUUCCAAAGAUGAAGAAGUAUGGUUCUCCAAAUUGUCAUUUCUUUUACAACAUGUAGCACACACACACACAAAAAAAGGUCAUUUUCAGAGUUCCAAAGCACAGAAUAUAUGCUUGUCUGUGAUGUCACAACAUCAUGAUGGGCACUAAGUACCUGAAUAACUCGGGAAAAGCUCCCAGCCGGCUCAGUGAAGGAACCACCUCCAUUGUAAAGGUGAAUAGGGCACUUAAGUGGCUUAUCAGGAGCUCUUUCACUUGCAAGUUGAAGUUGUUGCCCCUCCAAAUGCUGUUUGCUGUUUUCUCCUAGCCAAACUCCCUUGGCUGUUGCACUGUAAGUGGCUUUCCAGUUUUAGAGGGAUGCCUGAAGUUCAUGUUCUCAGUUUUCAGAUAUAAAGCCUAGUCAAAUUACUGACUACUAGAACAACUGAGUAAUACAGGGCAAAAUAAAAGGAAAAUAACAUGGAGACAAACUGAUACAUAAUUUCCCACAUCAAAACAUUUAUUGACUCCAUAUAGUUAGUUGCAUUCUUAUCUAAAGUUUCUUAAUUCCUUUUCCUUCUUUCAUUUUUUCUUUCUCUAUCCCACUUAUUAUAGAAUUAUAGAGCCAUAGAAUCAUGAAGGUUGGAAAAGACCUCCAAGAUUUAUCAACCUGUCACCAAUAUUUCCCACUAAACCACAUCCCUCAGUACAACAUGUAAAUAUUUCUUGAACACCUCCAGAGACAGUGACUCGACCAACACUUUUGUCUGCCUGUUCCAGCACCUGAUCACUCUUCUGGAGAAAAAUUUUUUCCUAAUAUCCAAAUUAUAGCUUACAGUGAGAUUUUCACUGCAAGCAUGAGUGAACCCUCAUGAAAAUAACAGGAUGGUUGUUCUGGAUUUGUACAGUACAAAGCUGAAAAAAAAAGAGUGAAGAGAAAGCAUACCACACUGAAACACUCAAAGCUGAAGAAACAUAAGCAAACAAGUUGUACUUGCAGGUGCAGGCACUUAGUGGAAUUAAUAGAAAGUGACACUCACAUCCUGCCAUCUUACCUUGUUAUCAUAAAGCCCAAGAAUAGGCUUGCCCACCUGUCACUUGUGGUUCUGUGUGACCAUUUUGAUAUCUUUGGGGUUUUCGGCAGCUAAGAAUGAACGCAAGAGUUCUGCCUGUGCAAUCUUUUCUGUGUCCUCUGGCAGAAGAGGUGUUUGGCCUUUGGAAUGAUAUGGAAUCCACAAGCAAGCUUUAUUCACAUCUGAUUUCCAAAGAAGAUAUCAAAGUGUCCUAGCUGAUCUACUAAGCAAGCAAAGUUCAUCUGUCUGAGCCUGCACUGACCCAAGCUGUGAAGCCAUUUCUAAUUGGCUAACCUAUGUUGAGCACGUGUACCUUGUGUUCAUUACCCACUAUGGACACAACACAGCUGGAGGUCUGCAAAUGAUUCACCUCUCAAGAUUUUUACGCCUUUUCCACCUACAGCCAAACUUGUUAAAAGCUGAAGGCUUAAAUCACCUGCUAGAGAAAAGAAAAAUUCAAAGUAGAGUUCUUUCUUUGGCAAGAAUAAAGGAAUAAACAACCUUCCGUAAACAAAACUCAAUGAAAAUGCUAUUGGUUAAUUGGUUAAUUCUGAAGUUAGGAAGCUGGUUUCAAGUAUUGCUCAAGCAAACUCCACCUAAAUGUGAACUUGAUUCAAAGCCCAGAGAAGUCCAAGAGGGCUUUUCUUCAGUUACGUUUUGGUGACAGUCUUGAUGUUAUAUGGUAUCUCUGUUAUCCCCAUGGUUUUAUAUUUAACUGUGCUCACAGCUAAGGUACAAAGUACAUAUCCCAAAUGUCUGACAAACAGAACAGGUUAAGUUAAUGGGUCAGCAGAGGAGUGGCACUUUGAUGUGUUGCUUCUUUAUAUGACAGCUAGCUUAGUUUCUUAUGGCCUCUUUGCCUGCUGCCAGGAGCAGUGAGUGGACCACUUCGACAGAGCUGUAAGUUACAGUUCCAAAAUGAAAUAAGGAACCCCACACUGUGGCUGCACCUGAUGUAAUCUUCCCUUUGCUUCUGUGCUGAUUGGAAGUCAAGCUUUGUGUCACGAUGCUCUGCUAAAAUAAGAGCUGACUGCAAGAUACUGAAACAAACACAGCAAGAGACAACUUCCACUGUAAUGGAUCCUCAGCCUACGAACAUAAAAGGUAGGAAGGAGGCCAUUUUUCCCAGAUCUGUCUGGUUUGGACGUCAUGAUGGCAUGUUAUGGUUUAAUCGUACUGGCAACUCACACAGGUAAGUAAUCCGAGGUAGAUACUGGAAAAGCAGCUGCUAAAUGAGGCAUACUUUGGUCAGCACCCUGAGAACACGGGAUCUGCAGGGCAAGGGAUGUAGCAGGGUAAAGGGAAUGGGUGUGGUGUGGGCUGCUCAGCUUAGAGAGUGGUGCAGCCUUGCUGCUGCUCACUAAGAAUGCAAAGAGUAGAGCACAGCAAUAGGGAAACAGGACAUGGCUUUUGCGAGCAAAGGCCUUGGCUGUUAAAGCUGCAGGUUUCCUGUGAGGAAUGUUGGAGUACUGUUACACUUCUAUGUAACAAUAAAACAACAGAACUGUACCACGUGGCAGCUGCAACACUCUGAUUCUGACCACAGCAGAACUGCUUGGCUAUAAGCAGCACUUCUUUUGGGGUACUACCUGUUGGGGUCAAUGAUGCAGCUGUACCAUGAGGGAUUUGGAGGCUUCCUCCUUCUCUCCCACAUCUGAAAAGAGCAGUGAGAGUGAGUUCUGGUUCUGGAUGACACUGCGGAACCCCAGGGGAAAAAAAACAUGGGAUAAAUGCAGUAGCUGAGAAACAGUCUGGGAUAUGGUUAGUAUUGAAAGCAGCAGAUUUCACACGUGCAGCUUUGCCAGUCUUUGUGCCCUUGCCUACGCCUGCUUAACCUGCUGUGUCCUUAUGGCAGCCCAUCAGUGCAUACAUAGAGGUUUUCUCAGCAGCAGAGUGAAUGCAAGAAGCCAGAAGAGAGCCUGUCUCUCGUUACGUUGAGCAGCACCACCAGCCGGGCUGCAGCUUCUUCCCCAGACUCAUGCUGGUGACUUCAGCUCCUGCACUGCUGAGGUUCCCCCCGCCCUUCGGGAGCGCCCCGGGGUAGCGGCUCUGCCCCCUCGGGGCGGACCGGACAGGACCUCUCCCUGCGCCGAGCCCCCGCCGCUCUCAGGCUGAGGGCGGCACCGAUCGCAGGAAGAAAGGAAGGAAGCUGCUUCCUUUUUUCAGGUUCCCGUUUUCCCCCGUUACCGUUCUCAUUCACCAUGGGAAGCAUCAUCUCAAGGCCCGGCCGC
Long non-coding RNA from Tympanuchus pallidicinctus (lesser prairie-chicken), 5469 nucleotides. RefSeq lists it as uncharacterized. The transcript has 7 exons. The record is from RefSeq and is a predicted model, not a curated record. Lineage: Eukaryota; Metazoa; Chordata; Aves; Galliformes; Phasianidae.